Molecule: non-coding RNA, 952 nt
Filed under: Spratelloides gracilis (silver-stripe round herring)
Lineage: Eukaryota; Metazoa; Chordata; Actinopteri; Clupeiformes; Clupeidae
Description: partial 12S ribosomal RNA
Rfam family: Bacterial small subunit ribosomal RNA
Source: RNAcentral
CAAAAGUUUGGUCCUGACUUUAUUGUCUGCUUUAGCCCGACUUACACAUGCCAGUAUCCGCGGCCCAGUGAAGAUGCCCUCACCCAUCCGUCCGAGGAAGAGGGGCCGGUAUCAGGCACAGUUCUUAGCCCAAGACGCCUUGCUCAGCCACGCCCUCAAGGGAAUUCAGCAGUGAUAAACAUUAAGCCAUAAGUGUAAGCUUGACUUAGUUAGGGUUAAUUAGGGUCGGUAAAACUCGUGCCAGCCACCGCGGUUAUACGAGAGACCCAAGUUGACAGACUCGGCGUAAAGAGUGGUUAUGGGUACAAUAAGCUAAAGCUGAACGCCUCUCAGGCUGUUAUACGCCCCCAGAAGGCGGAAACUCGCAGACGAAAGUAGCUUUACCAGAUAGACCAGAGCCCACGAUAGCUAGGGUACAAACUGGGAUUAGAUACCCCACUAUGCCUAGCCGUAAACUUAGGCAUUUAAGUACAAUAAAUGCCCGCCUGGGGACUACAGGCACCAGCCUAAAACCCAAAGGACUUGGCGGUGUUUCAGACCCCCCUAGAGGAGCCUGUUCUAGAACCGAUAACCCUCGUUUAACCUCACCACCCCUUGCCUCUUCCGCCUAUAUACCGCCGUCGCCAGCUUACCCUGUGAGGGACCUCCAGUAAGCAAAACGGGCACCACCCAGAACGUCAGGUCGAGGUGUAGCGCAUGGGAUGGGAAGAAAUGGGCUACAUUACCUGGCUCAGGUAACUUACGAAAGACCAUUUGAAAUUCAGUGGUAUGAAGGUGGAUUUAGCAGUAAAAGGGGAAUAGAGUGCCCCUUUGAAGCCGGCUCUGAAACGCGCACACACCGCCCGUCACUCUCCCCAACACACCAAGAUCAUAGACCUAAAGCACAAGAUAGGGAACAAGGGGAGGCAAGUCGUAACAUGGUAAGUGUACCGGAAGGUGCACUUGGAAUAAC